UGGGGAAUUUUGCGCAAUGGGGGAAACCCUGACGCAGCAACGCCGCGUGAGUGAUGAAGGCCUUCGGGUCGUAAAGCUCUGUCUAGAGGAAAGAAGUGUGAGGAGGCUAAUACCCUUUUCACUUGACGGUACCUCUGAAGGAAGCACCGGCUAACUCCGUGCCAGCAGCCGCGGUAAUACGGAGGGUGCGAGCGUUGUUCGGAAUUAUUGGGCGUAAAGCGCGUGUAGGCGGUUUCUUAAGUCUGAUGUGAAAGCCCCGGGCUCAACCUGGGAAGUGCAUUGGAUACUGGGAGACUUGAAUACGGGAGAGGGUAGUGGAAUUCCUAGUGUAGGAGUGAAAUCCGUAGAUAUUAGGAGGAACACCGGUGGCGAAGGCGGCUACCUGGACCGAUAUUGACGCUGAGACGCGAAAGCGUGGGUAGCAAACA
RNAcentral lists this ribosomal RNA (428 nucleotides) under uncultured Geobacter sp. Its description in RNAcentral is "bacterial SSU rRNA". It matches the Rfam family "Bacterial small subunit ribosomal RNA", at positions 355 to 774 of the family's 1533-position model. The record is from RNAcentral. Lineage: Bacteria; Pseudomonadati; Thermodesulfobacteriota; Desulfuromonadia; Geobacterales; Geobacteraceae.